CUGAAGGAUUCUACAUGAAAUUUUCCUAUUUUGUAUUUUAGCCGGAAAAAAACGUACGGUGACCCUAUCUUUUCUUUUGAUAUUCUCAAAGCAUUGUCUGAAAGCUAUCUUUUCCUUAAGUAUUUAACAAUUCUAUCAUUUUGUUUAGUUUCUAAUCACAAAAUGGUGUUUUUUCAUGUAUAAUCCAUACAAAAUGUGUUAUUUUGUCACGUCCUGUAGCUUGAGAAAAUGCAUGGUGACCUAUCAUUUUUAUGAUAUUUUUCAACAUAUAUCAAUAGAAACUAUGUUUUGGCAAAGUAUGAACAAAUUCUAUCAUUUUUAUUUUAGACUCCC
RNAcentral lists this long non-coding RNA (333 nucleotides) under Mytilus galloprovincialis (Mediterranean mussel). Lineage: Eukaryota; Metazoa; Mollusca; Bivalvia; Mytilida; Mytilidae. The record is from RNAcentral.